AUGCAGCACCAAGAGAAGGGGGGCUGAUCGAGAUCAAUCAUAGGGAGGGAGAGAUGAGGGGGAGGAGAUCCGACAGGGAGGCGAGAAGGGUGACGGGCAACACCGAGACGCGCUUCUGCUACAAAUUUUGGGAGGAAGACGGAGGCGGGGGAGGCCAAGAAGGAAGGAGGGACGAACCUGGGGCCGCCGGAGACGCGCCGGCGAAGCCCUGCCCGAAACCCUAGCCACAGGAGUGGGGUUGGAAGUGGGCGGCAGAGGACGGGAGCGGAGAAUCUGGCCGGAGGGGAGGCAGGCCCGGACCAUGGGGAGCUCGGGGGCGUGUUGCGCGUCGCCGGAGGUCGCCGGAAGCGGCCAGCGUGGGUGGUCGCGGCGGCGAUGACUCCAUGGGCGAGAGGGAGAGGAGGCGAGCCCGUGCUCUUUCUGUGGUCUUCUUUUUUCUUCACAAAUCUGCUCGGACCGCGGGUUGAAUAC
Molecule: ribosomal RNA, 471 nt
Filed under: Triticum aestivum (bread wheat)
Lineage: Eukaryota; Viridiplantae; Streptophyta; Magnoliopsida; Poales; Poaceae
Description: partial small subunit ribosomal RNA
Source: RNAcentral